GGGAAUUUAGCUCAGUGGUAGAGCACUUGCCUAGCAAGCACAAGGCCCUGGGUUCGGUCCCCAGCUCU
This 68-nucleotide transfer RNA is filed under the name Rattus norvegicus (Norway rat). It matches the Rfam family "tRNA". From Rfam's summary of the family: Transfer RNA (tRNA) molecules are approximately 80 nucleotides in length. Their secondary structure includes four short double-helical elements and three loops (D, anti-codon, and T loops). The record is from Rfam by way of RNAcentral. Lineage: Eukaryota; Metazoa; Chordata; Mammalia; Rodentia; Muridae.